UACGGAGGGGACUAGCGUUGUUCGGAAUUACUGGGCGUAAAGGGCGCGUAGGCGGACAGUUUAGUCAGAGGUGAAAGCCCAGGGCUCAACCCUGGAAUUGCCUUUGAUACUGGCUGUCUUGAGUACGGGAGAGGUGUGUGGAACUCCGAGUGUAGAGGUGAAAUUCGUAGAUAUUCGGAAGAACACCAGUGGCGAAGGCGACACACUGGCCCGUUACUGACGCUGAGGCGCGAAAGCGUGGGGAGCAAACAGG
Molecule: ribosomal RNA, 253 nt
Filed under: uncultured bacterium
Lineage: Bacteria
Description: partial 16S ribosomal RNA
Rfam family: Bacterial small subunit ribosomal RNA
Source: RNAcentral